Molecule: ribosomal RNA, 615 nt
Filed under: Moraxella sp.
Lineage: Bacteria; Pseudomonadati; Pseudomonadota; Gammaproteobacteria; Moraxellales; Moraxellaceae
Description: bacterial SSU rRNA
Rfam family: Bacterial small subunit ribosomal RNA
Source: RNAcentral
CAGGCUUACACAUGCAAGUCGAACGAUGACUCUCUAGCUUGCUAGAGAAGAUUAGUGGCGGACGGGUGAGUAACAUUUAGGAAUCUGCCUAGUAGUGGGGGAUAGCUCGGGGAAACUCGAAUUAAUACCGCAUACGACCUACGGGUGAAAGGGGGCGCAAGCUCUUGCUAUUAGAUGAGCCUAAAUCAGAUUAGCUAGUUGGUGGGGUAAAGGCCUACCAAGGCGACGAUCUGUAACUGGUCUGAGAGGAUGAUCAGUCACACCGGAACUGAGACACGGUCCGGACUCCUACGGGAGGCAGCAGUGGGGAAUAUUGGACAAUGGGGGCAACCCUGAUCCAGCCAUGCCGCGUGUGUGAAGAAGGCCUUUUGGUUGUAAAGCACUUUAAGCAGGGAGGAGAGGCUAAUGGUUAAUACCCAUUAGAUUAGACGUUACCUGCAGAAUAAGCACCGGCUAACUCUGUGCCAGCAGCCGCGGUAAUACAGAGGGUGCGAGCGUUAAUCGGAAUUACUGGGCGUAAAGCGAGUGUAGGUGGCUCAUUAAGUCACAUGUGAAAUCCCCGGGCUUAACCUGGGAACUGCAUGUGAUAAUGGUGGUGCUAGAAUAUGUGAGAGG